CCUACGGGAGGCAGCAGUGGGGGAUAUUGCACAAUGGGGGGAACCCUGAUGCAGCGACGCCGCGUGGGUGAAGGAGUGCUUCGGCAUGUAAAGCCCUAUCGGCAGGGAAGAAGCAAGACGGUACCUGACUAAGAAGCCCCGGCUAACUACGUGCCAGCAGCCGAGGUAAUAGGUAGGGGGCGAGCGUUACCCGGAUUCACGGGGGUAAAGGGGGCGUAGACGGGCAUGCAAGCCAGGGGUGAAAGCCCGGGGCGCAACCCCGGGACUGCGCUUGACACGGUGGGGCUGGAGUGCGGGAGGGGCAGGCGGAAUUCCGGGUGUAGCGGUGAAAUGCGUAGAGAUCAGGAGGAACACCGGCGGCGAAGGCGGCCUGCUGGACCGCGACUGACGUUGAGGCUCGAAAGCGUGGGGAGCGAACAGGAUUAGAUACCCGAGUAGUC
Molecule: ribosomal RNA, 440 nt
Filed under: uncultured bacterium
Lineage: Bacteria
Description: partial 16S ribosomal RNA
Rfam family: Bacterial small subunit ribosomal RNA
Source: RNAcentral